Molecule: non-coding RNA, 173 nt
Organism: Peptococcaceae bacterium BRH_c8a
Lineage: Bacteria; Bacillati; Bacillota; Clostridia; Eubacteriales; Peptococcaceae
Source: Rfam
UCCGUCGCGAGACGGAAUCUGAAGGAAGCCGGCGGCAAACGCUUGACCCGAGGUACACGAACCCAAUUUGAGGCUGCUUCAGCCGGACGAGUCAGCUAAACAUGACAAAAUCCAAAGCCGCCAAAGGCUGAGGCAGUAAACUUGGGCGGGUACAUGAGCGGAAAGAUGACGUU